CAUUUUUCUUUGGCCAGGGGUGUCAUCACACUCCUGGCCUGGAAGAAUGGGCAGUUAGCUUGUCCCAGGAACUGGUGUAUUUUUCUGUUGCUGCCAUUGUCCUGCACAAAUAUUUCAGCCUUGUGAUAAGAUUUGGCUGUUGCAGCUGCUAAGGGGACACAGGGGUGGGGGUAGAAGAAAACACAUGCCACGCUUUUGAAGUAACAGGUUAAGGGCUCAGGAGUUUGUUUGCCUUCUGUCCUUCCACACUGACAGGAGAGCCUCAUUUGCUCAUUUGGUUUAUUCUUGGAGACAUUAUGGUGAAGGCAUCCUGGAUCUUAUGAUGCACCUGGUCUCUGUGGUCAAUAAGACUGUUUGGAGAAGGACAGCAUCCCUGAGAAGCAGUAAUGGACCCCUGGCUGUCUGGCUGUCAUGUGACUUAUCGAUCAAAAGCCAUUGCCAGUCACCUCAGUUGUCAGUCUGCUCUCACUGAAGGAAGCUGGAGAAUGAACAUGGACUAUGUAAGGAAACUUCCACAUCUCCCUGACCAGACUGCCAGAAGAAAAAAGCCAACGCAGCAGGAAGAUGCCUUCACUUGACCUCUGCCUUCCAGAUGCUUCCCACUGCUUUGCUCUUUGUUACUACUUCUGUCUCAGAUAUUCUACCUGGAGUUACUUUUCCUUCUGCUUAAAAUGUCCUUUAGAAUUUUCCAAGGGUCUGCUUGUGAUGAGCUUUCCCUUUUGUUUUCCCUGAAAAUACCCUCACUCUUGGAAGAUUUAAAACAAAAAUGAACAGAUUUUGAAAUUGCUGGGAGAAACUCCAUGUUCUCCCUCCCUUGUUUGCCAGGAGAAAACAAUGAAAACUGCAGAUAUAA
This is a long non-coding RNA of Marmota flaviventris (yellow-bellied marmot), 853 nucleotides long. RefSeq lists it as uncharacterized. Lineage: Eukaryota; Metazoa; Chordata; Mammalia; Rodentia; Sciuridae. The record is from RefSeq and is a predicted model, not a curated record.